Molecule: ribosomal RNA, 449 nt
Filed under: uncultured bacterium
Lineage: Bacteria
Description: bacterial SSU rRNA
Rfam family: Bacterial small subunit ribosomal RNA
Source: RNAcentral
CCUCCAGACUCCUACGGGAGGCAGCAGUGGGGGAUAUUGCACAAUGGGGGGAACCCUGAUGCAGCGACGCCGCGUGGGUGAAGGAGCGUUUCGGCGCGUAAAGCCCUAUCGGCAGGGAAGAAGAUGACGGUACCUGACCAAGAAGCCCCGGCUAACUACGUGCCAGCAGCCGCGGGAAUACGUAGGGGGCAAGCGUUAUCCGGAUUCACUGGGUGUAAAGGGAGCGUAGACGGCGACGCAAGUCUGGAGUGAAAGCCCGGGGCCCAACCCCGGGACUGCUCUGGAAACUGCGUCGCUGGAGUACGGGAGGGGCAGGCGGAAUUCCUGGUGUAGCGGUGAAAUGCGUAGAUAUCAGGAGGAACACCGGCGGCGAAGACGGCCUGCUGGACCGUGACUGACGUUGAGGCUCGAGAGCGUGGGGAGCAAACAGGAUUAGAUACCCGCGUAAC